AAUUCCUACGGGAGGCAGCAGGAGGGAAUCUUCGGCAAUGGGGGGAACCCUGACCGAGCAACGCCGCGUGAGAGAAGAAGGUUUUCGGAUCGUAAAGCUCUUUUGUAAGAGAAGAACGUUAGCGGGAGUGGUAAAUCCGCUAAGUGACGGUACAUUACCAGAACGGGACGGCUCACUACGUGCCAGCAGUCGCGGUAAUACGUAGGUCCCGAGCGUUGUCCGGAUUUAUUGGGCGUGAAGCGAGCGCAGGAGGGCUGAUAAGUCAG
This 266-nucleotide ribosomal RNA is filed under the name uncultured bacterium. RNAcentral describes it as "partial 16S ribosomal RNA". It matches the Rfam family "Bacterial small subunit ribosomal RNA", at positions 334 to 591 of the family's 1533-position model. The record is from RNAcentral.